Molecule: long non-coding RNA, 494 nt
Organism: Bos taurus (domestic cattle)
Lineage: Eukaryota; Metazoa; Chordata; Mammalia; Artiodactyla; Bovidae
Source: Ensembl
AUUGUGGUGUGAAGGCUUCUCACUGUAGUGACUUCUCUUGUUAUGGAGUACAGGCGUUGGGAACACGGGCCCUAGAAUGCAGGCUCAGUAGUUGGGGAAUACAGGCUUACUUGCUCCAAGAUCCUGCCCUCUGGGAGGUGUGGGCCUGAGGCCAAAAUUUGGCAGCAUGUUAGGUCCUGAACCUCUCCUGUCCAUGCCAUCCUGUUGGUGUUGAUGGUACCACCACUGUUAUGGCUGGCAUGUGGAAUCUUAUUUCCCUGACCAGGGAUUGAACCAGCACCCCCUGCACAGACUCUUAACCACUGGACCACCACGGAAGUCCUGCCUACUUUCAUUUUAAUGGUGUGCCCCAGUAACUCUAGAACCCAAAUGAGAAAUGUAUCCACAUCUGUUCUGUCAACAUCAUCAGCUGUUUGGUGGGUGUCAUUAAGUCUAAUCUUAGAGGAGAGGAAAGCAUGGCGGCCCAGUGGGUCAAGAUCCCCUGACCUGGAGAC